UGCAGUGGACGGAUCUGUUUU
This 21-nucleotide non-coding RNA is filed under the name Caenorhabditis elegans. Lineage: Eukaryota; Metazoa; Nematoda; Chromadorea; Rhabditida; Rhabditidae. The record is from RNAcentral.